RNAcentral lists this ribosomal RNA (403 nucleotides) under bacterium. Its description in RNAcentral is "partial 16S ribosomal RNA". It matches the Rfam family "Bacterial small subunit ribosomal RNA", at positions 355 to 776 of the family's 1533-position model. RNAcentral also lists the same sequence under 1 other name. The record is from RNAcentral.
UGGGGAAUAUUGCACAAUGGAGGGAACUCUGAUGCAGCGACGCCGCGUGAACGAAGAAGGCUUUCGAGUCGUAAAGUUCUUUUAUAUGGGAAGAUAAUGACGGCACCAUAAGAAAAAGCCCCGGCUAACUACGUGCCAGCAGCCGCGGUAAUACGUAGGGGGCUAGCGUUGUCCGGAAUCACUGGGCGUAAAGGGUUCGCAGGCGGAAAUGCAAGUCAGGUGUAAAAGGCAGUAGCUUAACUACUGUAAGCAUUUGAAACUGCAUAUCUUGAGAAGAGUAGAGGUAAGUGGAAUUUUUAGUGUAGCGGUGAAAUGCGUAGAUAUUAAAAAGAAUACCGGUGGCGAAGGCGACUUACUGGGCUCAUUCUGACGCUGAGGAACGAAAGCGUGGGUAGCAAACAGG